This 465-nucleotide ribosomal RNA is filed under the name Vreelandella stevensii. RNAcentral describes it as "partial 16S ribosomal RNA". It matches the Rfam family "Bacterial small subunit ribosomal RNA", at positions 338 to 795 of the family's 1533-position model. Lineage: Bacteria; Pseudomonadati; Pseudomonadota; Gammaproteobacteria; Oceanospirillales; Halomonadaceae. The record is from RNAcentral.
CCUACGGGUGGCUGCAGUGGGGAAUAUUGGACAAUGGGCGAAAGCCUGAUCCAGCCAUGCCGCGUGUGUGAAGAAGGCCUUCGGGUUGUAAAGCACUUUCAGUGGGGAAGAAAGCCUUGGGGCUAAUACCCUCGAGGAAGGACAUCACCCACAGAAGAAGCACCGGCUAACUCCGUGCCAGCAGCCGCGGUAAUACGGAGGGUGCGAGCGUUAAUCGGAAUUACUGGGCGUAAAGCGCGCGUAGGCGGUCUGAUAAGCCGGUUGUGAAAGCCCCGGGCUCAACCUGGGAACGGCAUCCGGAACUGUCAGGCUAGAGUGCAGGAGAGGAGGGUAGAAUUCCCGGUGUAGCGGUGAAAUGCGUAGAGAUCGGGAGGAAUACCAGUGGCGAAGGCGGUCUUCUGGACUGACACUGACGCUGAGGUGCGAAAGCGUGGGUAGCAAACAGGAUUAGAUACCCCGGUAGUC